UACAGAGGGGGCAAGCGUUGUUCGGAAUUACUGGGCGUAAAGGGCGCGUAGGCGGCCCGCUAAGUCGAACGUGAAAUCCCCGAGCUCAACUCGGGAACUGCGUCCGAUACUGGCGGGCUUGAAUCCGGGAGAGGGAUGCGGAAUUCCAGGUGUAGCGGUGAAAUGCGUAGAUAUCUGGAGGAACACCGGUGGCGAAGGCGGCAUCCUGGACCGGUAUUGACGCUGAUGAGCGAAAGCCAGGGGGGCAAACGGG
RNAcentral lists this ribosomal RNA (253 nucleotides) under uncultured bacterium. Its description in RNAcentral is "partial 16S ribosomal RNA". It matches the Rfam family "Bacterial small subunit ribosomal RNA", at positions 524 to 776 of the family's 1533-position model. The record is from RNAcentral.